UACGUAGGGUGCAAGCGUUAAUCGGCAUUACUGGGCGUAAAGCGUGCGCAGGCGGUUUUGUAAGUCUGUCGUGAAAUCCCCGGGCUCAACCUGGGAAUUGCGAUGGAGACUGCAAGGCUGGAGUCUGGCAGAGGGGGGUAGAAUUCCACGUGUAGCAGUGAAAUGCGUAGAGAUGUGGAGGAACACCGAUGGCGAAGGCAGCCCCCUGGGUCAAGACUGACGCUCAUGCACGAAAGCGUGGGGAGCAAACAGG
RNAcentral lists this ribosomal RNA (253 nucleotides) under uncultured bacterium. RNAcentral describes it as "partial 16S ribosomal RNA". It matches the Rfam family "Bacterial small subunit ribosomal RNA", at positions 524 to 776 of the family's 1533-position model. The record is from RNAcentral.